UGCACUCCAGCCUGAGCAAGAGGGUGAGACCCUGUCUCAAGAAACAAGCAAACAAAAAUAACCUAUUCCACUUUGACCCUGAAUAGGGAAAACUGACCAAACAAGGAGAGUAGCCAGAGGCAGGGAUGGAAGCAUAGGAGAAACUGGCAGUGGACAAGCUCCUUUGGAAUAAUCCACCAAGAGAGGAAAUGAAACAGAAUGCCUGAAUGAAUUAUGAAAGCAGAACAAAGUCUGAAAGAAUAAUCAGGGCUUGAGAUCUAGAAAGGAUCAAUGAGAUUUGUGGGAACAGACUUUCAGGGGAAACACAGAGGGCUAAGCGGCCUGAGAAACAGCUCAACUCUUGACCUUCCUCUUCCUGACACAUAGCAAGCUCAAGUGUAAAAGUUCUUGGUUCCUGGGGGAUCCCGAAAUGGCAGAGGUGGCUGUAUCUAUGCACCUUAUUCAACAAGUUGGUAAAAGUCCACUUAAGGCUGAUCACCAAGAGCUGCCUGCUUAGAAACAGGAGGAAGCUAGAUACCUAAAAUACUCCCAGCACGUCCUGGGAGAUGACACCCUAAGCUCUCACCUGGGAAAGGAAAAGGAUGAGAGACCCAGGUGACUGCAGGUUCACCUUGCUGGGGAACAAGGUUUUCUCACCUUCAUUUCCAGUGCGGGAGGGAAACCAGAAUAGCAAAAGAUCAAGAAAACUGAACAAAAACUAGAAGAGAAAUUGGUGGAGGGAUGACAGAGGUUGAAAUGGGAAGGCACCAAGCAGAAUCAGGUAUCCUCUACAGAGCAGAGAAUUGCCCUGAGCACAGAAUGCUAUAUCAUUUUCUCAAAGUCACAGAGCUGGGAAUUGCCAACAGUGGGACUGGGAUCCAGAUCUGCUCCCCUCAUUACUUAUUCUCCCUGGAUUUCUCUUCAGAGUGGAGCAAUGCCCUGGCAUUCAACUCGUCUGUGAUAUGACAGUCCUCACACUCUGUGUAGUGACCUACUAUGAGUGGUACCUGGGCGCUGCCUGCCUAGAAUUCAUCCCUCCUUCUUCUGGGUGGUUAGGAAGGUAGAAGGUAAUCCUGGAGCUUCCCGCCACCACGCAGGAGGAAUUUGCCUGAGAGCAAAGCCAGCAUAGAGAAGCAGAGCUGAGUCAUGGAGACAGGUGGCUGAAAGUUUCAUUUCGGCAUAUGGAUCUCACCAUUCCUGAAGCCACUUUCAACUCUUCAAUUUCAUAGCUAAUAAAUUCUCAUUUUUGCACAA
This 1233-nucleotide long non-coding RNA is filed under the name Homo sapiens (human). RNAcentral's name for it is "HSALNT0397613". Lineage: Eukaryota; Metazoa; Chordata; Mammalia; Primates; Hominidae. The record is from RNAcentral.